GAUGAAGAACGUAGCGAAAUGCGAUAAGUAGUGUGAAUUGCAGAAGUACCGUGAAUCAUCGAAUCUUUGAACGCAAAUUGCACUCUCUGGUAUUCCGGGGAGUAUGCCUGUUUGAGGGUCGCUUAACAAACCAUCGAUUUCGUUGCUUUUUUUUUUUAAAAAGUGAUGUUUAUCGGAUUUGAGCCGUCUUUUUUUUUUUAUUUUUAAGUGGCUUAAAAUUGAUUUUUUUGGUACGAUCGAAGCGUAUUUUUAUGAUCAAUUUUUGGUUAAAGAAACGCACACGUACCGUUAUUUAUAUGAUGUAAUACGUUUGACUAUUGGAUUUAGUUCAUUCGUAUACGAUAUCUUUCAAUAUUUGACCUCAAAUCAGGUAAGAACACCCGCUGAACUUAAGCAUAUCAAUAAGCGGAGGA
RNAcentral lists this unclassified non-coding RNA (413 nucleotides) under soil metagenome. RNAcentral's name for it is "partial contains 5.8S ribosomal RNA, internal transcribed spacer 2, and large subunit ribosomal RNA". The stretch from base 1 to 121 matches the Rfam family "5.8S ribosomal RNA", at positions 35 to 154 of the family's 154-position model. The record is from RNAcentral.